UCCGGUUUGUCACCGGCAGUCUCCUAUGAGUCCCCGGCAUUAUCCGCUGGCAACAUACGACGGGGGUUGCGCUCGUUGCGGGACUUAACCCAACAUCUCACGACACGAGCUGACGACAGCCGUGCAGCACCUGUGCAGGCUCCCGAAGGAGCCCCGUGUUUCCACGGGUUUACCCUGCAUGUCAAGCCCUGGUAAGGUUCUUCGCGUUGCGUCGAAUUAAGCCACAUGCUCCGCCGCUUGUGCGGGCCCCCGUCAAUUCCUUUGAGUUUUAGCCUUGCGGCCGUACUCCCCAGGCGGGGUGCUUAAUGCGUUAGCUCCGACACCGAGUGCGUCUAUACACCCGGCAUCUAGUGCCCAUCGUUUACGGCGUGGACUAC
Molecule: unclassified non-coding RNA, 377 nt
Filed under: uncultured bacterium
Lineage: Bacteria
Description: contains 16S-23S intergenic spacer region
Source: RNAcentral